UUAUCUAAAACUUACCGACCGAUCGUAGACAAACGUGGAGUGAGACGAGGUAGAGUGGAAAAAGGAAAACCAAGAAGAUGAAAGGUGAAAUAGAGCAGAAAUUUAGCAACAAUGAAGAGAAAAAUGGAAAGAGGGUGGAGAGAUUUUGGGGAAAGAAAAAAAAAAGAAAAAAUGAACAGAAUAGUUGAUAACCACCCCAAUCCCUUAUUUCUCUCCAUCAAACUCCCCACUAAAUCCACUACUCAGAUUUUUAGUCCAUUUCAAACUCUCCUGGACGCACGAGCAAAAAUAAUGCCCAUGCCAAGAUUCGAACACAGGACCUCUUUCACACCAACACUCCAGUUAUCCAUCAAAC
RNAcentral lists this long non-coding RNA (355 nucleotides) under Gossypium raimondii (Peruvian cotton). RNAcentral's name for it is "long non-coding RNA (GRAI_LNC004476)". Lineage: Eukaryota; Viridiplantae; Streptophyta; Magnoliopsida; Malvales; Malvaceae. The record is from RNAcentral.